GGGGGCGAAACGGCUUCGACGGGAAUAUGGAAGCAUUGGUUGCAUACCGAGACUAUCACUCGUAAAACGAUAGACCCUAAACAUAAUCGCAGAUGAUUAUAACUACGCCCUGGCUGCUUAAGCCGGCCAGCGUCCUAUCCAGCUUUUUCUGCGGGCAGGAAUAGGGCGACGACAAGCAGAAUAGUUUGAUAAACAAUCCUGUCGGUUUAUCAAGCGAAACUUAUUACAGGAUGGCGAUGUAAAAAUUGUGUUCGGAGAAGUUUUACAUUGCGACAAUAAAAUUCGAACUAUGUAUGUAGACGCCAUUGUGGAAUAUUUGCGGACGCGGGUUCGACUCCCGCCGCCUCCAUUU
This 352-nucleotide transfer-messenger RNA is filed under the name Candidatus Magnetoglobus multicellularis str. Araruama. It matches the Rfam family "transfer-messenger RNA". Rfam says of the family: Bacterial tmRNA, also known as 10Sa RNA or SsrA, is named for its dual tRNA and mRNA-like properties. Its role is to liberate the mRNA from a stalled ribosome. To accomplish this part of the tmRNA is used as a reading frame that ends in a translation stop signal. The record is from Rfam by way of RNAcentral. Lineage: Bacteria; Pseudomonadati; Thermodesulfobacteriota; Desulfobacteria; Desulfobacterales; Desulfobacteraceae.